RNAcentral lists this ribosomal RNA (454 nucleotides) under uncultured bacterium. Its description in RNAcentral is "bacterial SSU rRNA". It matches the Rfam family "Bacterial small subunit ribosomal RNA", at positions 29 to 506 of the family's 1533-position model. The record is from RNAcentral.
AUGAACGUUGGCGGCGUGGAUUAGGCAUGCAAGUCGAACGGGCCGCAAGGCCAGUGGCGAAAGGGAGAGGAAUACGUAGAUACCCACCCUCAGGUCCAGGAUAGCCGCGGGAAACUGCGGGUAAUACUGGAUAAUAUCUCCGGAUCAAAGGUGUGAUUCCGCCGGAGGACGGGUCUGCGUCCUAUCAGCUAGUUGGUGAGGUAAUGGCUCACCAAGGCUAUAACGGGUACUGGGUGUGAGAGCACGACCCAGCUCACUGGGACUGAGAUACUGCCCAGACACCUACGGGUGGCUGCAGUCGAGAAUCUUCGGCAAUGGGCGCAAGCCUGACCGAGCGACGCCGCGUGUGGGAUGAAGGCCUUCGGGUUGUAAACCACUGUCGGGGGGGAUGAAAUACUUAAGAGUUAUCUCUUAGGCUUGACAUAUCCUCGGAGGAAGGACGGGCUAAGUUCGU